Molecule: non-coding RNA, 743 nt
Organism: Cicer arietinum (chickpea)
Lineage: Eukaryota; Viridiplantae; Streptophyta; Magnoliopsida; Fabales; Fabaceae
Source: RefSeq, a predicted model, not a curated record
ACCAUUUCUCAAAUAUCGCUUCUCAGUUUGGUUACAUAAAUCGCGACUUCAUAAUGUGUAAAUCGAUAUUAUAUAUAAAAAAUCAAAGGUCUGAUCAAAUGAAAAUCAUUAAUAUUAUGACAUAUUUUUUUGUCAUCUUUGAUGUGCUUUGGACAAAUGUUCAUUUUGAGAAUGUUCAACAUAAAUCCCUAACAAUUGUGAUUUCCUUGAUUAAAUAUGAGUACAAUACGACCAAUGCAAGAAGAUGUGGUGGACUACACAACUCCAUCUUGUGGCACCUUAUGGUGAUUCAUGUGGAUGAUGUAUGCAUUGAGGGAUGGUAUAUUUGAGUCAAGCUUGGCAUAUGAAGAAUCCAAGUGCUUGCUCCAUAAGUUGAUGAAUCAACGUUGUGAUAAAGUGGAGGUACACAUUCCGGCUCAUUGUGAUAACAACAAUUGUAUUCCGCCAACAAGAUAUUGUGGCCCAAAACAAGAUUCAUGAAGACUUAUUACCAAUGUUAGUGUAAUUUGAUUGUGAUUUAAAAGAUAAAAUUUGAUUGUCAUGAAUAUAAUUAGUGGACUUGCAUUCUUAGUCUUUCAUAUUUCUCUAACUUUCAUUAGUGAGUGGGAGUCUACCAAUUGUUUGUGGUGAUAGUGAUCUUUAAGAUGAUCAUUCACUUACUUAUAUAUAUUGUACAAAUAAGGUUCACUUUGUAUUGUAAAACAUACUUUAGAAGAAAAUAAUACAAAAACUUCUACAUUAUC